CAGGCAAAUGUGGAUGUUUUGGAUAAAGAUGGUGAUCCUCCACUUGUUUUUGCUUUAGCUGCUGGAUCUUCAGAAUGUGUUCGUGCUCUCAUUGAAAAAGGGGCUAAUGUUAGGUCUAGGUUGAGAGAAGGCAUUGGUCCAUCUGUUGCUCAUGUUUGUGCCUACCAUGGCCAACCCGAUUGUAUGCGAGAGCUACUAUUGGCUGGAGCUGAUCCCAAUGCUGUGGAUGAUGAAGGUGAAACAGUCCUGCAUAGGGCUGUUGCCAAAAAAUAUACAGAUUGUGCUCUUGUUAU
RNAcentral lists this unclassified non-coding RNA (293 nucleotides) under Hevea brasiliensis (rubber tree). The record is from RNAcentral. Lineage: Eukaryota; Viridiplantae; Streptophyta; Magnoliopsida; Malpighiales; Euphorbiaceae.